This 699-nucleotide ribosomal RNA is filed under the name uncultured bacterium. Its description in RNAcentral is "bacterial SSU rRNA". It matches the Rfam family "Bacterial small subunit ribosomal RNA", at positions 8 to 679 of the family's 1533-position model. The record is from RNAcentral.
AGAGUUUGAUCCUGGCUCAGGACGAACGCUGGCGGCGUGCUUAACACAUGCAAGUCGAACGAGGGCCCGGAGCUUGCUCCGGUGACCCGAGUGGCGGACGGGUGAGUAACACGUGACCAACCUACCUUCGGGAGGGGGACAACCUGGGGAAACCCGGGCUAAUACCGCAUAUCGUCCACGGGCCGCAUGGCCUGUGGAUAAAAGGGAGCCUCUGCUUGCAUGCUCUCACCCGAAGAGGGGGUCGCGGCGUAUCAGCUAGUUGGUGGGGUAAUGGCCUACCAAGGCAUCGACGCGUAGCGGGUCUGAGAGGACGACCCGUCACAUUGGGACUGAGAUACGGCCCAGACUCCUACGGGAGGCAGCAGUGGGGAAUAUUGCGCAAUGGCCGAAAGGUUGACGCAGCGACGCCGCGUGUGGGAGGACGCCCUUCGGGGUGUAAACCACUGUCAGGGGGGAAGAACUUCGCAGGUGUGAAUAGCGCUUGCGGUUGACGGUACCCCCAGAGGAAGCGCCGGCUAACUCCGUGCCAGCAGCCGCGGUAAGACGGAGGGCGCAAGCGUUGUUCGGAAUUACUGGGCGUAAAGGGCAGGUAGGUGGUCUGUUAAGUCUUCUGUGAAAAUCCGGGGCUCAACCCCGCGAAAUGCAGGUGAAACUGGCAGACUUGAGACCGGUAGAGGCUAGCGGAAUUCCUGGUGUAGC